Molecule: ribosomal RNA, 404 nt
Filed under: uncultured bacterium
Lineage: Bacteria
Description: bacterial SSU rRNA
Rfam family: Bacterial small subunit ribosomal RNA
Source: RNAcentral
GGGCCCGCACAAGCGGUGGAGCAUGUGGUUUAAUUCGAUGAUACGCGAGGAACCUUACCUGGGCUCUAAUGCGAGUGACCGCUCCUGAAAGGGAGCUUUCCUUCGGGACACGAAGCAAGGUGCUGCAUGGUUGUCGUCAGCUCGUGCCGUGAGGUGUUGGGUUAAGUCCUAUAACGAGCGCAACCCCUACCGUUAGUUGCCCGCGUGUAAUGACGGGGACUCUAACGGAACUGCCGGUGCAAACCGUGAGGAAGGUGGGGAUGACGUCAAAUCAUCACGGCCCUUACGUCCUGGGCUACACACGUGCUACAAUGGUCGGUACAGAGAGCAGCCACUACGCGAGUAGGAGCGAAUCUUCAAAAACCGAUCUCAGUUCGGAUCGCAGUCUGCAACUCGACUGCGUG